Molecule: long non-coding RNA, 297 nt
Organism: Bombus terrestris (buff-tailed bumblebee)
Lineage: Eukaryota; Metazoa; Arthropoda; Insecta; Hymenoptera; Apidae
Exons: 3
Source: RefSeq, a predicted model, not a curated record
ACUGCCUGUUCGACGUGUUCGGGUGUUUUUAGUGGAAUAUUGCAGUAGAUUUUGUCUUCCUGCGGAUAUGUUCAGAUUACUUGUUAUAAUUUUGUAAUUAUAUAAUAUUUUUCUAGUGUUCUACCUCGAGGUGAAUUUGACUAUAUAUGUUUUAGUUUUGUGGGCCCGUUGUUGUAGUCCAUUGAAGUUCCAAGCUGCUAUUUUCAACGUGUCCAUUUCUAUUCUUUACUGAACAUAUUUUCAAGAAUUACGAGGUGGAUCUUUCACGCCGAUUGAAAACUGCAGCCCAUGAAAUAG